UAGGGUUUGAAAUAAAUAGAUGUAACUAUAAGGACACACUCAUUGCAUAAGUUCUUUCAUCUUCGUCUACAAACCGAGAUCGCAGGACUCGUUCUAGUCGAAGAAAACACAGUAAUGUAAUUUCAAACCGAGUAUUACAAUGUAGUCAGGUUCACAACCCCACAAACUAUUAACAUUCCACUUGAAAGUAAAACAUAGCUUCAGACAAAUGGCCACUGGGUCGGAUCAAUAGCCAGCAGCUCGACUUGUAUGCCAUCCAAUUCUCUCUUGAACCUGUCCUUGGAGCUUGCAUAAAUCAUCUUGUUUCUCACCCUUGCUGUGUCGGGAGACCUAUGAAUACGGUAAAGAACAUAAGCAAAUAUGACACGAAAAAUAGAGAGACGCGUUUAGGUCAUAAUAUUUACCAUCCGAUGAAGAAAAUCCUGCUUUUCUGACAAUUCUCUGCAGUCACAAAGUCAAAAUCAUAGACAGCAUAUCUGCAUUCAUUAUCAGGAAGGUUUGCAGUAAAGUCUUCGUAGCUUUCAGCUGGCCAACCGAGUUUCUCCACAAUCACCUCAUUUUUCUUCUCGUCAAUCUUGAACACUAUGAAGCGAUAUGUUCUCUUUGCCUUCAAUUCCAGAAACUUCAGCUUGCAGUCAUCAUCCACAGAAAAUCCAGACGCUGCGUUAGCCUGUUCAUAGGAUGAAACAGAAGAUAGAUGUUAUUCUUACGCAAUUUAUGUCCACAAAACCAACACACACUAGUUUUGAAACAAUAAACAUGUAUUCACUGUCCUACUCGGCCAAAAAAUAAAGCUCAGCAAUUCUAAAGAACACAAUUAAUAAUAUCUAAAAAUAGAUUGAGGAAAAGUGAGUGAGAGAGAGAAGGAACGAAUAAGGGUGAACGAGGGAUACAAAUGUGAAAGGGGUGUACGGAACGACACACAAAAUGAAAACUGAAAACAAUUUUGAAGUUGUUUUCACUUUCAAGUCUUUGUUUUCACAUAAUCUCCUUCAUUUCUCCCGUCACCCCUCCCACCACCUCCCUUCAUCCUUUCCAUUCCUCAUUUCUCCCAUAUACUCUCCCUCUACAUAAGCACAAAAAAUGAAAACUAAAAACUGAAAACAAAAUGGUUAUCAAACGGGGCAUAAAGGUUGCAAGCCUCCUUCCCUCCCAUCCGUCCUCCUCUUUUUCCUCUCCCUCUUUCUCUCAUUCUAGAGGUUCUAUCUCACCUAAUUUCUUAAAAAGUAGUACGUCAUGAAUACAUGAUACAACUUGAAUCCCUUCGAUUUAAGCCUGUACUAUGCAGGUUGGCCUAGAGAUUAUAUAUCUAAACCAAAGACCAGCAAUCUGAAACCGAGAAUGUUCAGCAUAAGGCUACUUGAGGUACGUUUCUUCCUUAGUUUACCUUCAGCCCUAGAUUACAGACUGCCCAUUACCGAUUUCCAUACAGUCCGCACUAGUGCUAUACUUGCAAGAAUAAGAUAAACACAAUUCAGCAUCGCAACAUCCGUAAGUAAUCAGAUUGCAUCACUCAAAUUAGUUCUUAUCUGUGAUCAGCUGGUUGACAUUGUUCCAGUACCGAGCACUUGAAUCCCGGCUCUCGAUCAAUUAACAGAAAACCAAAUGCGGGAGAUUUGACAUUGUGAGAAUCUAAAACAGCUUUCUAAUCAGAUUUAAAUCUCAAUGCAUCCAAAAAUUGACAACCACGUCAACUGUUAGACUAAUGGAAUCGGUGCAACGCAACUCUGUUCAAAUUUCACAAUAAACAAAACAGAUACCAGAAGACCAAAUAUAUAUAAAAAAACCACAAACCCACCACAAAGAACCAACCCAGAACUCAAAAGAUGAGGACUAUAUCUAUAUGUAUGUGAUCAAAGCUAAUACCUUCGUCUACUGACAACUAAAUGACACAAAAAUCAAAACAAAACCCAAAUUCAGAUCCGAUGAUCGAUAACAAUCGAUUGAAACAAGUGCAUCCAAAGCCCAUCGCAGAUGAUAACGAAGCGAUCAGAUCAUAACCCAAAACCCAUUAAACAGCCGAAAUAAGAGAAACAAUAAUAAUUAAAAAAAAAUACAAAAAGCAAUGCGCAGGGAAAGAGAAGCAGCAAAGAGAUACCGACCAUUGCGGUUGCAGAAAAAUCUAUCCCAAAACGAAAAGGAGCUGAGUUGCUGCGACUAUGGCAGAAAAUGGAGGACUGAUUGCUCUCUGGCGUUUGGUGUGCGCUUUGAAUGGCUUUUGCUGCCGAGACGGUGGUGGUUGUUGUGGCUUCUCUUUCACCCACCUUCCCACUCCCCCUCUAAAUAUCAUCAUGGAGGGCAUGUCAUGCGUGAAAACGGCGCAAGGAGAAGGUAGGUCUGUCCUAUCAUGGCUUGACGCGUGUGGAUCAGGGUUGCGAAAAGACUGAUAGGCCCUUGGCUUUUGUGGCGGGUCUUCCGACUUGCCCACCCAGCUGGAAAAUCGAGGCUCCUUUUUAUUGGCGGACUCAAAGUGAAUAAAACUUAAAGAAAACUAAUGAAAAAGGUUUGAAAACUUUGAAUUUUAACGAUAAGGACAAAAUAAAGGGUAAAGUGAAUAGUAACAUGAUUGACUUUUUUAUGUAAAAAUGUGGUUUUUCGUUAAAAUGAAUAGUACCGGGAGCUUUUCGUUAAAGUUCCCUAAAAUUUACCAUUUCAGGGGUAAUUAAUAAUCACUUACGGGUGGGCAUUUUUAAUGGGUCAACUGCAUGCGACAUGGGUUGAGUUAUUAUAGCAUUCUGUUAUAAUGGCUACAUGAGCAACUUGAGGUGAGGGCAUGGGCUUGAUACCACUCAGUCGAGCAAAAGUACUUUCCAUUAUAACAGCAUUCUGACAAUUUAUUCUUAUCUAUUAUAGAAAACAUUUAUCAUCUUAUAGUAAAUGUUUUCUAUAAUUGUUGAGGCCUCCAGAAGCACUUUUAAUUGUAAUCUGUCAUUCCAUGUUGGCUCAUGAAUUGCAUUGCUGCAUUUUUGCAUUGAUUUGGAUGAAAUGUGUAAAAAAACACAAAAAACCCCCAAAAAAAAAACAGUAACGGGUGAAAUGGGUGAUCCGUUAACUUAACGGGUUGGAUUUGGGUGACCCAUUAACUUAACGGGUUGGAUUUGGAUAACCCGUUAGCUUAACGGAUCAAGUUAAAUCCGACUCAAACCUAAUAAAUCCGACCCGUUUACAGGAUUAGUUAGUAGUCCAAGUUCCAACAGACUUGGUGGAGCCACCGAAUCGCCCUCCAUCGUUUGGGCCGGUGGAGAGGUUUUGGGCACUUUGGCAGCCUUUCUCUCCCCGCUGGAACUGCUCGAACGAGUCGUAAGAAACACAAAUGCUUUCAUAUUUUGUGUAUUUUGCGUGCAAAGCCUCAUUAAUUCACAGCCUACUCGUACUCAUCCUCCACCGUUAAAUCAUAACAGGCACACAAAAGAAUGAUUAGCUUCUAGAUGUAACUAUAAGGACACACUCAUUGCAUAAGUUCUUUCAUCUCCGUCCACAAACCGAGAUCGCAGGACUCGUUCUAGUCGAAGAAAACACAGUAAUGUAAAUUUCAAACCGAGUAUUACAAUGUAGUCAGGUUCACAACCCCACACACUAUUAACAUUCCACUUGAAAGUAAAACAGAGCUUGAGAAAAAUGGCCAUAACAGAGACCAGGCUUCUUAGUUUGCACGACUUUUGAUAACAUCGAGGCCUAUCUCAGUCGGAUCAGUAGCCUGCAGCUCGACUUGUAUGCCAUCCAAUUCUCUCUUGAACCUGUCCUUGGAGCUUGCAUAAAUCAUCUUGUUUCUCACCCUUGCUGUGUCGGGAGACCUAUGAAUACGAAGAAC
Molecule: long non-coding RNA, 3811 nt
Filed under: Malus domestica (apple)
Lineage: Eukaryota; Viridiplantae; Streptophyta; Magnoliopsida; Rosales; Rosaceae
Description: long non-coding RNA (MDOM_LNC010178)
Source: RNAcentral